Molecule: long non-coding RNA, 1388 nt
Organism: Myotis myotis
Lineage: Eukaryota; Metazoa; Chordata; Mammalia; Chiroptera; Vespertilionidae
Exons: 4
Source: RefSeq, a predicted model, not a curated record
AGGUGUAGAUGGCAGGGCAACUCUGAAGAGCCAGUGCUUGGUGUGGGGAGGGAGGAUGUCUGCCCCCGCUGAGAGCCCGAGCGUUGCGGGAUUCUGGUAGGUUCACUUUGGUAAACCCAAGAGCAAGAGGAGAAACCACACAAUCGUGGCAUUUUUGAAGCCUGAGCCCACAGAGAAGAAGAAUAGGAUGGAGAAGAGACCAGGGCUCCGAAUGGACUUGACCACCAAUUAGCUGUGUCAUCUGGUGACUCAUUCAUCCUCUCUCGCUCUAACUCCUCUUCUGGAAAGCGAGGCAGUUGGAUUAAAGCAGUAGCUUUCAAAGUUAGAAAACAAAGGAACCUUUUAUCAAGCAAAAUCUCAUGAAGAAUUUCAAUUUCUAGAAUGGAAAAGCAGAGCCAGUCUGGUUGAAGCAGGGUGCAGAGGGCCUCCUGGUUUCCUCCUGGUCAUUCAGAUUGUCCCCUGACGCACUUCACCAGAACUUCCCAGGAUCACAGUUUGAAAGCACAGAGGAAGCUGAUUUCGAUGGCCCUACUAGCCCUGCCUCAAGGUGUAGCAUUUCAGGCCCUCCUGGCCACCCAUUGAAUCAGAAUGUGCAUGCUAACAAGAUGCCCAGGAGAUUCCUUCAGGAACACUCGAGAGAGGUGCUUCACCCCAUUUUAUAGACAACAAACUGGGUACCAGAGAAGCUCAGUGACAGUGGCCAGCUCCUAAGUGGCCGGGCUGUGCCGUCAUCCUGACUUUCCAGCGGGGAUCAUUGCACUGUCGUGAAGGUGACCUGAGCUGAGGAAGACAGCGGACACAGACUGGCAGGACCCGUGAGGUAUGAGACGAAGCACUGGAGCAGAGGUGCGGAGGGUUGAGUCUCCAGGGAAAGAAGAGGGGACACACUGGAGCUGAUUCUAUUGGACAAAGAGUAUCACACAUAUCUGCAAUACGUAUGGCACAAGGGAAGAAAAUGAUGGUUUAAGUUGAAGACGGGAGGAUUCUGAGAGAAAACAACAGGAAACAAUUACAGAACAAUACAAUGCAGCAUGUAACCCGGAAUGAGACUGUGAGUUACGGACGAUGUGAAUCACAGAAAUCCACUGGAAAGGCUUGGGCACUGUGGGCUGGAAGAUCAGAGUGGACAAACAUGUCAAAGCUGGAAGAGCCCUGGAAAUCAUGUAGUUCAAACUUUUUGCUGUUUUUCCAAACGGAACUCCAUUUUACAAAUGAGGAGACUGAGGCUCAGAAAGGUGAAGUCACUUAGCUGGGGUCACAGGGUGAAUGAGUGACAGAACUAUAAUGAAAUACGUAAAAAAUGGCAGAAGCAGCCAAGAGGUGGUUGAGCAAAGUCAAGAAUGAUGUAGUAAUAGCAGUAAUCAUUAUUAUAAAAAAUGUUCACUGAG